This 877-nucleotide ribosomal RNA is filed under the name Bacillus sp. AH2. Its description in RNAcentral is "bacterial SSU rRNA". It matches the Rfam family "Bacterial small subunit ribosomal RNA", at positions 50 to 907 of the family's 1533-position model. Lineage: Bacteria; Bacillati; Bacillota; Bacilli; Caryophanales; Bacillaceae. The record is from RNAcentral.
UAUACAUGCAAGUCGAGCGAAUGAUGAAGAAGCUUGCUUCUUCUGAUUUAGCGGCGGACGGGUGAGUAACACGUGGGCAACCUACCUAGUAGAUUGGGAUAACUCCGGGAAACCGGGGCUAAUACCGAAUAAUCCAUUUUGUCACAUGGCAAAAUGCUGAAAGGCGGUUUCGGCUGUCACUACUAGAUGGGCCCGCGGUGCAUUAGCUAGUUGGUGGGGUAAUGGCCUACCAAGGCAACGAUGCAUAGCCGACCUGAGAGGGUGAUCGGCCACAUUGGGACUGAGACACGGCCCAAACUCCUACGGGAGGCAGCAGUAGGGAAUCUUCCACAAUGGACGAAAGUCUGAUGGAGCAACGCCGCGUGAGUGAUGAAGGUUUUCGGAUCGUAAAACUCUGUUGUAAGGGAAGAACAAGUACGUUAGUAACUGAACGUACCUUGACGGUACCUUAUUAGAAAGCCACGGCUAACUACGUGCCAGCAGCCGCGGUAAUACGUAGGUGGCAAGCGUUGUCCGGAUUUAUUGGGCGUAAAGCGCGCGCAGGUGGUUUCUUAAGUCUGAUGUGAAAGCCCACGGCUCAACCGUGGAGGGUCAUUGGAAACUGGGAGACUUGAGUGCAGAAGAGGAAAGUGGAAUUCCAAGUGUAGCGGUGAAAUGCGUAGAGAUUUGGAGGAACACCAGUGGCGAAGGCGACUUUCUGGUCUGUAACUGACACUGAGGCGCGAAAGCGUGGGGAGCAAACAGGAUUAGAUACCCUGGUAGUCCACGCCGUAAACGAUGAGUGCUAAGUGUUAGGGGGUUUCCGCCCCUUAGUGCUGCAGCUAACGCAUUAAGCACUCCGCCUGGGGAGUACGGCCGCAAGGUUGAAACUCAUGAG